UAGAUAGAUAGAUAGAUAGAUAGAUAGAUAGAUCUAGCAACGUUACGUCGUUCGAGCGCUUUACGACGGUGCUUCAAACAUAAGCAUUAAAUUAUUUUCAAGUUUGUCGUGUAGCUAUACAAACGUCUUCAUUUAAGGUAGAUGAUGUCAGUUAACUACAAAGGCAAUUCGUAUUGAGCGAGACGACCCUCGCAAGGCGAAUGAAAUGAUAAAACUCCCUUUAAAAUCGCUGCAUAAUUUGUACGUUGAUGCAAUAGGCCUACUCAGGCCUGCGUAUUUGAAAAUAAGCCUGACAGGCUGUUGUGGGUUUAAAUCCCUAAGCAAAUGAGACCAAUCAGUGAUUUGGAGUCUCAGGAAACGUUUUUGUGUAGCAAUAAAAUGAGAAAAGGAUAAAGAUAAAUCAGUGUUCGACAAUAAAUCAAUGCAGCAUGAGAGAUGAGAUGAGCGCGGUGGGGGAUGGGACUCAACGCGCAGAUGACAGGCCAUAUGGAGUCGGCCUUCUUUUUUGGACACAGUUUGAUGAACUAAUACUUUCUAAGGGUUUACUGCGGUGUUAACAAAAUAUUUAUUUCACGUAAAAACGUUUACGUCGAAGAAUGAACAGUCAAUGGAAUCGUGGCGCAUGAUGACCUUAUUUCUUAAAGGUGCUCGCGGUUUAUUUGCCAAUACGCAUUCCAUAAGCGCAUUCUUUAUUUUUAUUUAUUUUUUGUAGGGGUUAGAAUGUAAAAACGUCCAAUUUGAAAUAGGUUUGUUGUUCUUCAGAUUAUAGACCAUUUUGGGAAGUCGUGCGUACGAAUUGCACGUUGACUUGUGCAUCAAGAAAUGAAUAGAAAGAAAAAAGUGCUUUGUUUAGAAAUCACGAUGACUAAAUAAAACAAACACGUGCAGCAUGAAAAGUGCAUAAACUAUUUUCCAAACGGCUAAUGUUUAGGAACCCGACAGAUGCCACCUCUUUCCACCAGAGUAUAAUCCUCUCUGAAGGGAAGGGAACAGAGGAGCAGGACGGAGAGCUUCAGUGUGUGAUAAACUGGGCUGCUCUCCUCCUCUCUGUCAGAUCGCGCUCUGCAUCACACCAUUUCACAUGAUGACCGACUCUGCUUACGAGCACAGAAACCUUCAGCUCUGGCUAUUUGCUUCCAACAUGCCUUUUCUGCUUUCUUUUUCCCCCCGUUUAUCUUGAAGAAAUUUGAGUGAUGCAACACUGUAAGCGGAAAUGAUUUAUGUCGCAUCCUACAGCAUCAAGGUGCGCAAAAGCGAGCGGAACAUUUGAUGGUUUUGGAAGGACGCUCUUCUGCACCGACUGGCUUGUGGACAUUUUCCCAAACUGGAUUUAUGGACACUUAUUAUCUCGGGGGAUAAAAACCUAUUAUUUAUAUCCUACUUCGCAAGGUGUAUUUGUCGCAUAUAACAGUUGACUGUAAAUUCAUUGAGGUGCCACUGUAUCAAAUGAUGACAGGCUAUAUUAAUAGGUUUUUUGAUUUUCAGACUGAAUGGACGUCACUGAAUGGAUCGCCUAAUUAAAAUCCUAUUUGCGGGGAAUGUUCCUUUCUGUGUAUGGUGCAAGGUUGGCUUUGACAAAUGGUGCCCUCCACUUUUUUCCCAAUAUUUAGUUUACCCCCUCCUGAUGCAGGUGCUUUCAACUGCCCCCACCCCGCCCGACCCCCCACAAGAGGCGGCGGUGUCUCUGGUUUAGUCCCACAGUUUCCCCCUUCUUUCUUACCUCUGCUGCAUUUUGCAUGAGCUAUAUAGGUCAUUAGCAUUUUAGCGUAUGCAAGACUUGACAAAGCUGGUGAGUAGCCAGAUGGGCCCUCUACUAUUUUUUUUUUUUUUUUUCUCUUGGGAGUUGAGCAAGGGACCAACUGCAGCAAGCCACUGAGCGCUUUCUUUUUAUGGCCAUCACUCGGGCCUUAUGUUGAACCAACACAUGAUGGAGAGAUGCGCACCGUCCUGUGGAAAUAACGCAUUCGAAAAAAUAGGUAAUGUAAUAAAUGGGAACGCUUGCUUGAAUUAUGAUGUUAUGCACAGAUGCUUUUAAUGAUGCAUGAUGCUCAGUGCAAUGUUGGAUGCUGACGCUACACCAGUCGGAAGAGGACGUAGAUAUUUUGGUGCAACAUCUUUGCUGUAGCUUAGUUGUGCGAUUCAGAACACUGUGGUUGCAAACAGGCCUGCUUUUCUUCGUGUUCACAGCGGACCUUGAUUUAAAUUUCCAUACAAUUAAGGCACGCGGUGAAUGCCAAGAAAGAUGGCAAAUAUCAUCGUUGAUUGUUUUUUAUGAUAGCAUAGCGCAUAUAGUCCGUGGUUUGCGAUGCAUGACAGUUCUUAUUUUUCUUUCGGUCGGUUUUGGUUUUUGCUAGAGCGCGCGUGAGUGUGGAGGCGAGCCGACGCAUUAAUGCGGCCAAACUGAUCUUUAAAAUUUCAUUGCGUUCUUCCAUAAUUUUGUGUUGCGCAAAAGAGCGUAUCGUGGAAUAUUGUAAAGUGUCAUUGUGCGUUGAGUUUAAAACUCUAACAAUUACCAUGAAGUCUGAUGUAACGUAUUUUUGACAUUUACCUUCUAUUUAGAGGACGAUUUAAAUCUAGAAAUAGUCUCAUUUGCAGAUCUGUGUGGGGACACGAUGUCUUCAGAAGAAGAUGAAGAAUAAUAUCGAUAGAAAAGUUGUGAGGCCCACGGUGACAACCAAAUUAAACAGAAUGCACUGAUAUCUUACAUUUCUGAACGUUUUGGACGACAGCAGUUGGUCCUCAAAAUGACACUUGUCAUGUGUCCUCAUAAGGGCACUGAAAAUAUUGAACAUGUACGUUUGUAUUGUAUUUAUGGUUGUGUAAAUGAUUUUAGCUUGUCAAUAAAGUCACAUUCACUAAGCAGA
Molecule: long non-coding RNA, 2864 nt
Organism: Cyprinus carpio (common carp)
Lineage: Eukaryota; Metazoa; Chordata; Actinopteri; Cypriniformes; Cyprinidae
Source: RefSeq, a predicted model, not a curated record